This 497-nucleotide ribosomal RNA is filed under the name uncultured bacterium. RNAcentral's name for it is "bacterial SSU rRNA". It matches the Rfam family "Bacterial small subunit ribosomal RNA", at positions 21 to 507 of the family's 1533-position model. The record is from RNAcentral.
GGCUCAGGAUGAACGCUGGCGGCGUGCUUAACACAUGCAAGUCGAACGGAGUUUUAGUAAAUGAUUGAUUUAGCUUGCUAUUGAGAGAUUUUGCUAAAACUUAGUGGCGGACGGGUGAGUAACGCGUGGGUAACCUGCCGUAUACAGGGGGACAACAGUUGGAAACGACUGCUAAUACCGCAUAAGCGCACAGUACCGCAUGGUACCGUGUGAAAAACUCCGGUGGUAUGAGAUGGACCCGCGUCUGAUUAGCUAGUUGGUAAGGUAACGGCUUACCAAGGCGACGAUCAGUAGCCGGCCUGAGAGGGUGAUCGGCCACAUUGGGACUGAGACACGGCCCAAACUCCUACGGGAGGCAGCAGUGGGGAAUAUUGCACAAUGGGGGAAACCCUGAUGCAGCAACGCCGCGUGAAGGAUGACGUAUUUCGGUAUGUAAACUUCUAUCAGCAAGGAAGAUGAUGACGGUACUUGACUAAGAAGCCCCGGCUAACUACGUG